CCGUAGGACUGCCUGCGGAGGACAUUAACAAAUGGAUCUUCGGAUCAACCAGGCCUCACCCUUCUCGGGCGGCUCGGGUUAACCCUUUGUGAACCAAAAAAACCUUUUUCGCUCGGCAGCUGGGUCCUAAACCAACCCGUCAGCCUGGCGCUAGCACAAACCUUAAAAACUUGUUGUCAAAAACAUUGUCUGAUAACCAAAAUUUUCGAAUGAAAAUCAAAACUUUCAACAACGGAUCUCUUGGUUCCCGCAUCGAUGAAGAACGCAGCGAAACGCGAUAGUUAAUGUGAAUUGCAGAAUUCAGUGAAUCAUCGAGUCUUUGAACGCACAUUGCGCCCAUUGGUAUUCCUUUGGGCAUGUCUGUUUGAGCGUCAUUACAACCCUCAGCUUAACCGCUGGUUUUGAACCCGAACGGGGCCUCCCGCCCCGCGCCGGUUUUAAAGUUGUAAGCUCUGCUGGCCGCUCUGCCCAACCAGAACAUAGUAAUAACCAUACUUUUGUUAGGGUGAAGUCGAGUGGUACGGCCUGAACAAAACCUACCCCUUCUCAAGGUUUGACCUCAGAUCAGACAAGGAUACCCGCUGAACUUAAGCAUAUC
Molecule: ribosomal RNA, 598 nt
Filed under: Orbilia javanica
Lineage: Eukaryota; Fungi; Ascomycota; Orbiliomycetes; Orbiliales; Orbiliaceae
Description: eukaryotic LSU rRNA
Rfam family: 5.8S ribosomal RNA (bases 221-374)
Source: RNAcentral